CUACGGGUCGCUGCAGUGAGGAAUAUUGCACAAUGGGGGGAACCCUGAUGCAGCAACGCCGCGUGGAGGAUGACGCAUUUCGGUGUGUAAACUCCUUUUAUAUGUCAAGAAAAUGACGGUAGCAUAUGAAUAAGCACCGGCUAACUCCGUGCCAGCAGCCGCGGUGAAUACAGGAGGGUGCAAGCGUUACUCGGAAUCACUGGGCGUAAAGGACGCGUAGGCGGGUUGGAAAGUCAGGUGUGAAAUCCUACAGCUUAACUGUAGAACUGCACUUGAAACUUCUAAUCUAGAGUAUGGGAGGGGAAGAUGGAAUUAGUGGUGUAGGGGUAAAAUCCGUAGAUAUCACUAGGAAUACCAAAAGCGAAGGCGAUCUCCUGGAACAUUACUGACGCUAAGGCGUGAAAGCGUGGGGAGCAAACAGGAUUAGAUACCCUGGUAGUC
Molecule: ribosomal RNA, 441 nt
Filed under: uncultured bacterium
Lineage: Bacteria
Description: partial 16S ribosomal RNA
Rfam family: Bacterial small subunit ribosomal RNA
Source: RNAcentral